RNAcentral lists this ribosomal RNA (292 nucleotides) under uncultured bacterium. RNAcentral describes it as "partial 16S ribosomal RNA". It matches the Rfam family "Bacterial small subunit ribosomal RNA", at positions 505 to 796 of the family's 1533-position model. The record is from RNAcentral.
GUGCCAGCAGCCGCGGUAAGACGAACCGUGCGAACGUUAUUCGGAAUCACUGGGCUUAAAGCGUGCGUAGGCGGCUCAGAAAGUUGGGUGUGAAAUACCUCGGCUCAACCGAGGAAUUGCGCUCAAAACUACUGGGCUUGAGGGAGUUAGAGGUGAGCGGAACUAAUGGUGGAGCGGUGAAAUGCGUUGAUAUCAUUAGGAACACCGGUGGCGAAAGCGGCUCACUGGGGCUCUGCUGACGCUGAGGCACGAAAGCUAGGGGAGCGAACGGGAUUAGAUACCCGCGUAGUCC